RNAcentral lists this long non-coding RNA (2125 nucleotides) under Nicotiana tabacum (common tobacco). Its description in RNAcentral is "long non-coding RNA (NTAB_LNC018223)". The record is from RNAcentral. Lineage: Eukaryota; Viridiplantae; Streptophyta; Magnoliopsida; Solanales; Solanaceae.
GAAUACAGAAAUUAAAAUUAAAAUUAAAGAUGACCUAUCAGAUCAUCACAGUAACUUAAUAUAAGAUUUUACAUCAAAAUUGUUUGCCUUAUACAAUAUAACAAAUGACUUCUUAAUGUGACGAUUUAUAGCCAAUAAAUGAUUUUUGACUCCAUAUGUGAUUAAACAUCAUCACAUAAAUUGAAGAAAAGUACUUAAAAGGAAAUGAAUGUUGUUAGUUAGAAAGAAAAGUAGCAACAAGAUCAGAAGCGCCCACACUCGGUAAUCAAUCAGGCAAAUAGCGCAAAGUUGAUAAGGAUGAGAUCCGGUUCCCCCUGACGACAACAUCCGCUACAAAUGUUGAGAAACAAAGUGAGCUUGCAACUUUUGUUAUUCCUGUGGCUGGUUAAUGAUUUUCCUUUUCUUCUUCCCUAUUUAUGAGUCAAUAAUUAAAUUUAAGUAAAUAUAUAAAAAAGAUUAUUGUCCCUUACAGUUUGGUUUUUCAAAUUUCCAAAUUAAAAAAAAAUUCCAAUUAUAUUCAUACACUAGUAUGAAUUGAUGUUUUAGUUUUUUCACGAUUUUAGAAAUAAAUAAAAUAAUAUUAUCUCCAAACGCAAGAUUAAAUUACGAAAUGAAAAAAUUAACUCUUCAAGUAACCUUAUUUAAGGAAGACUAUCGCGUGGGACCAGUAUUCCUUAUCUAUUAAGAAAUCUCAAAAUUAAGAAAGAAAAAGAAAAGAAGAAAGAAAAGUGAUCGAAAACAAUGGGACAACGAAAAAGGAGGAUAGAAAGAAAACAGUGGAGAAGGAAGAACCCAGGGGGCGGCAGGGGCCAUAUAGAAUACUGAGCAGUCGUUUGGUUUGGUACGCAUAAGGUGAGAUAAGAAGUAGGAUAAAAUAUAUAACUUGUUUGGUUGGAAAUAUAAAUUUAUAUAGUAAAUUAAAUAAGGUAUAAAUUUAAUCUCAAACUUAAUCCAGGAUAUUUUAUCUUAUCCUAUCAAAUAUGACAUUAUUUUAUCCCAUCUUUUAUGUGAUAUAAAUUAAUACUUCAAAGAUUAUAAUUUCGGAAUAAUUUAAUCCGCGUAUCAAACGUCCCGUAAUAGUAUAGUCGUUUUAUCCAACGGAGCUAAAGCAUUUAUAAAUGGAUUCUUAAGGGCAGGAGAGAGAUUAAAGAGUAAGAGCCUAUAAUAUAUACUCCAACAGGUGUUUGGCGGCGAAAACAUUAAAAAGGUGAAAAAUAAAGAUAAAGAGGAAAAGAGAUUGAUCGAGAUCGAGUUCGAAAUCGAGAUGAUACCGGUGGCAAUCAUGGCGGAGUUGUUGGAGGAAUACACGGUGCUGUUAGCGAGGGUGCUGGAGCAUAUGUUCCAGCAAGCUCCUUUGCCCUUUCCUAGGCGGGUCCGCUUCCUCAUUCUUCGAAGUCUUCCUUUUGCCUCCUCUUCCACUUCCAAUCCUCACCUAUAUCUUACCACUCUGUCAUUCAUUUAGAGCUUGAUUCUACUUCUUCUUUUUCUCUUCUACUAAGUAGAGUAAUAUACAUAUAUAUACGCCCGCGUGCGUGUGUAAUUUUUAGCUUUGUGGUUGUAAAAUUGUAUAUAUGCCUACUUGUUCUAUAUUGUUAUGGAGUACUGUAUUUGGCCAAGUGCUAUAUUAAGCGAUAACCUGCAGUGUGCAGUAUAUGCUCUGAACAUUUCAAGUUUCCUAUGUUGCAUCUGCAUCCAUGGUUGGUUUGGCGAGUAGGCUUGCAACCUGUGGUGGACGCACGUGGUCAGCUUCGUCAAAAAAUAAUAUUGUGUAUAUGUAUAAAUUACGAUUAAAACUAUAUAAAUUUUAUAUAAAUAUUUUAUUUGAACUCACUUAACAACUAUUAGUUAACGACUAAAAUCAUGUACCUCUAAGAUUGAACCUGCUUGCACAAAAUUUUUGAUGUCCCGCCACUUACAACUAGUCAAUAUACAAAAUAAAGAAGAAACCUUGAGCUAGGUGCUACGUGACGAGCUACUGCUAGAAGAUAAAUUCAAGAGAAAGGGUGACAAAAUAGGGCUUCUAGAUCAAUAUUGAAUAAUAGAGUUAGUACAGUACGAGGAAAUGGUUCCAUCCAUCCUCAGUUAGGCCCGUAAUUUGUAGAAAGCUCUAGAUUUUGGAAAUCGG